This 448-nucleotide long non-coding RNA is filed under the name Nicotiana benthamiana. RNAcentral's name for it is "long non-coding RNA (NBEN_LNC017385)". The record is from RNAcentral. Lineage: Eukaryota; Viridiplantae; Streptophyta; Magnoliopsida; Solanales; Solanaceae.
AAAAAUGUUGUUCUCUUUGAAUUUGUUGCUAUUGUAAAUCCCCAUACCUCGUUACCUUCUAUGGUCUUGAGUAAAGGUUCAAGACAUGGAAACAUCCAAAUUGUUGCUCAUGUUUGGACCUGAUCUUUUAAUGGUCCUAACUCCCCAAUAGUAUGGCCAACAUGGCUGGGGGGUGUGAUAGCAACUUUAAUUGCUGAGUAUGACCACCAACUUGUAUUGGCUUCCCUCCAGAAUCCCCUAUAUUGCACUCAUACUUAUUCCUAGCUUCUAAGUUCUGCCCCCCUCCUGUGAUCCAUGCUUUGGGAUCUUGAGUUCCCUUUGAACUUGGAGACUUAAGGGUUGGUUCUUCCACACUGCACUAUGUCUCUACCCUAUAAUGAAUUUGGAUGUAAGCACUGCCCGAAGCUCAUAAAGCUCUUGAGUACUCUGACACACAAAAACAAACGAG